Molecule: ribosomal RNA, 1333 nt
Filed under: metagenome
Description: bacterial LSU rRNA
Rfam family: Bacterial large subunit ribosomal RNA
Source: RNAcentral
CUUUUAGUACUGAUUAAUAAUAAAAUUUAAUUUUUUGUUAAGCUUCCUAGAAAAGCUCGUAGUAUUUAUAUUGUCAAAUUACCUGUACCUUAAACCGACACAGGUAGGUGGGUAGAGUAUACCUAGGGGCGCGAGAUAACUCUCUCUAAGGAACUCGGCAAAAUGGCCCCGUAACUUCGGGAGAAGGGGUGCCUCUUUCAAAAGAGGCCGCAGUGACCAGGCCCAAGCGACUGUUUACCAAAAACACAGGUCUCCGCUAAGUCGUAAGACAACAUAUGGGGGCUGACGCCUGCCCAGUGCCGGAAGGUGAAGGAAGUUGGUUAUUCACUAGAAGAAGCUAAUAACCGAAGCCCCGGUGAACGGCGGCCGUAACUAUGACGGUCCUAAGGUAGCGAAAUUCCUUGUCGGGUAAGUUCCGACCCGCACGAAAGGCGUAACGAUUUGGGCGCUGUCUCGGAGAGAGACUCGGUGAAAUAGACAUGUCCGUGAAGAUGCGGACUUCUUGCACCUGGACAGGAAGACCCUAUGAAGCUUGGCUGUAGCUUGUAAUUGGGUUCGGGCUUUUUUUGCGCAGCCUAGGUGGGAGGCAUUGAUAAUUUUCUUCUGGGAAAAUUUGAGCCGUUCGUGAGAGACCACUCUGAAAGAGCUAGAAUCCUAAUAAUGAUCCUUGAAUCAGGACAUUUGACAGUUGCAGGUGGGCAGUUUGACUGGGGCGGUCGCCUCCUAAAAAGUAACGGAGGCGUGCAAAGGUUCCCUCAGGCUGGACGGAAAUCAGCUUAAGAGUGUAAAGGCAAAAGGGAGCUUGACUGCAAGACUUACAAGUCGAGCAGGGGCGAAAGCCGGCCUUAGUGAUCCGACGGUACCGCGUGGAAGGGCCGUCGCUCAACGGAUAAAAGUUACUCUAAGGAUAACAGGCUGAUCUUCCCCAAGAGUUCACAUCGACGGGAAGGUUUGGCACCUCGAUGUCGGCUCAUCGCAACCUGGGGCGGUAGUACGUCCCAAGGGUUGGGCUGUUCGCCCAUGAAAGCGGUACGUGAGCUGGGUUCAGAACGUCGUGAGACAGUUCGGUCCAUAUCCGGUGUAAGCGUUAGAGUAUUGAGAAGAUUCUUUCAUUGUACGAGAGGACCUGAAAGAACGUACCACUAGUAUACCAGUUCUCGUUCCAACGGGAUACGCUGGGUAGCCAAGUACGGAGCGGAUAACUGCUGAAAGCAUCUAAGUAGGAAGCCCACUUCAAGAUGAGUACUCUCUUAAGAUCACGGUAAGACAAACCGGUUGAUAGGUAUCAGGUGAAAGAUUAGUAAUAGUUGAAGCUGAGAUAUACUAAUAGAUC